RNAcentral lists this ribosomal RNA (630 nucleotides) under Isochrysis galbana. Its description in RNAcentral is "partial Bacterial large subunit ribosomal RNA". It matches the Rfam family "Bacterial large subunit ribosomal RNA", at positions 3 to 693 of the family's 2925-position model. The record is from RNAcentral. Lineage: Eukaryota; Haptophyta; Isochrysidales; Isochrysidaceae.
UUAAGCUACUAAGAGUACAUGGCGGAUGUCUUGGCGUUAAGAGGCGAUGAAAGACGUUGUAGCCUGCGAUAUGCCUCGGGGAGCUGGCAAACAAGCUUCGAUCCGAGGAUCUCUGAAUGGGGAAACCCGGCCGCAAAUGCGGUCACCCGUACCCGAAUGCAUACGGUACGGGAGCGAACCUGGCGAACUGAAACAUCUAAGUAACCAGAGGAAAAAGAAUCAACCGAGAUUCCGUAAGUAGCGGCGAGCGAAAGCGGAUCAUCUUGCGUAUCGACACGAGCGGCCUGGAAAGGCCGACCAUAGAAGGUGAUAGUCCUGUAGUGUCGUGUGUAAGAGUGUCCUAGAGUAGCGUAGAGCUCGUGAAACUCUGCGUGAACAUGGGGGGACCACCCUCCAAGGCGAAAUACUACUUAACGACCGAUAGUCAACCAGUAGGGCGACUGAAAGAUGAAAAGUUCCCCGAUAAGGGAAGUGAAAUAGUAUCUGAAACCAUGUACUUACAAGCGGUCGGAGCCGUUCUUCGGAACGGUGACGGCGUGCCUUUUGCAUAAUGAGCCUACGAGUUACUUUAUCUAGCAAGGUUAAGUAUUUAAGAUACGGAGCCGUAGCGAAAGCGAGUCUGAAUAGGGC